CACUCCGCUCAGUGCUGGCCGCGGCCCGGCUGGGAGCGCUUUGAUUUUCAAGUGCCGCCGCGGGCUCGGGGCAUUCUGGGCACCCUCUGAAAGGAGCCUAUCCCCACCUUACGUUGUCAGCAGCCUGAGGUUUCCUUGCCUGUUGUCUGUAACACCCCCGCUUCCCCAUUCCGCCCCGACACAGAGUCCAGACAGGCAGGCAGGCAGGCCCCGGCCUCGUCUGCGGCUGAGUGGGGUCCCAGCUCCAGGGAAACGCUUGAUGCGGUCGCUCAGGUUUGCAUUAAGAGAAACCUGCUUUUUCUUAGUGAGAAAAUGGAGAAAAAUGGAAAGCACCUUUUAUCCUACCAUCGGAGGGAGAGCCGUGGAUUCCAUUUAGAGAUAAGCCAGCCUCGAUUUGUCAAGCUUCAGCCCCCUGAGUUGUGCCUGUCAUCCUACAGGACGAGGCAGAGAAGAGGGUGAGAGUUGAAGAAACGUGCUCCACCAGACAAGCAUAAAAAACACAAAGGUGGUGCAGGUGAUGGGAAGUGUUACAAAGUCCAACAUGGCCUUUUACUGGAAAGAGAGACAAGGGGGUCAAAACACUUUCCGGAGGCCCUGCUUCUUUUAGGCCUCGGGCACAGGCUGCACCUUGGAAGGCAGGCAGGCUGACUCAGGAAGACAUGUUCUCUAGGAUACUACUGGGUUACUCAAUAUGGGUGCUGAGUCCCUACACCUGCCCUGAAAAUACUUCACCCACAGCCAUGGCGGCUAACUGUUCUCUUCAAGUGUCCACAACCUGUAUGGCUGCCUCGUGGUCAGCCCGACUGCUCCUCACAUCCUGAUUGGGGACCUGUUAUGCUGACUGGCCCAUGGAGACAGGCACUUUGUUUCUGAUAUAACAUCUGAGACUGAA
Long non-coding RNA from Herpailurus yagouaroundi (jaguarundi), 892 nucleotides. RefSeq lists it as uncharacterized. The transcript has 4 exons. The record is from RefSeq and is a predicted model, not a curated record. Lineage: Eukaryota; Metazoa; Chordata; Mammalia; Carnivora; Felidae.